This 372-nucleotide ribosomal RNA is filed under the name uncultured organism. Its description in RNAcentral is "partial 16S ribosomal RNA". It matches the Rfam family "Bacterial small subunit ribosomal RNA", at positions 527 to 896 of the family's 1533-position model. The record is from RNAcentral.
GUAGGUGGCAAGCGUUGUCCGGAAUUAUUGGGCGUAAAGCGCGCGCAGGCGGUUCUUUAAGUCUGAUGUGAAAGCCCACGGCUCAACCGUGGAGGGUCAUUGGAAACUGGAGAACUUGAGUACAGAAGAGGAAAGCGGAAUUCCACGUGUAGCGGUGAAAUGCGUAGAGAUGUGGAGGAACACCAGUGGCGAAGGCGGCUUUCUGGUCUGUAACUGACGCUGAGGCGCGAAAGCGUGGGGAGCAAACAGGGAUUAGAUACCCUGGUAGUCCACGCCGUAAACGAUGAGUGCUAAGUGUUAGGGGGUUUCCGCCCCCUUAGUGCUGCAGCUAACGCAUUAAGCACUCCGCCUGGGGAUACGGCCGCAAGGCUG